UUCUUCUGAGUUUCAUGUGGUUUGUAAAU
RNAcentral lists this non-coding RNA (29 nucleotides) under Mus musculus (house mouse). The record is from RNAcentral. Lineage: Eukaryota; Metazoa; Chordata; Mammalia; Rodentia; Muridae.